UGACCCGGUUCGGUCCGUGAGAUAAUCGCAAACGGUAGUGUCCGAGCACGUAGCUGGUGCCUUAUUAGGAUGACGACAUUUUUUACCAUGAAACAAGACAUCGAAUGGAUCGUUUACCGAGAACGAUUUAAAGCUGCUUUUUCCAACAUUUUUAUAUUGAUACAAAGACAGUUACAUUUGCAAAGGAGUACGGACAUUGAAUGUUUAAUUUUUACGUAGAAAGCGCAGAUCGCAAGAUCGCAAUCUCAUUUUGGCGGGUUUUGAGAAAUUUGGAAAGGUGUCCAACGUGACGCCCAAAAGGGUCAUCAAGUCACCAAAUCAAGUCAUCGCAGCCCAUCCACAUGAGUGCGUUGCCGGCCUUUUGAGAGAGGAGUUUACGGUUUCUUUAAAAAAUUGGAGGUCGUAUCUCCGAGGGAAAACCCCACAGUUCGCUAGUUUGCAAAAGAAAGUCCCUUGUAAAGGGAACAAUGGAACACUUCCAACCAGCCAUCAAGAAUGCUCAUGAAAUAUAAAGUUAUAAGCAAUGAUAAAAAUAAGAUCAAUACUGUGAAUAACACACGAUUUAUGAAUUCUGAAAAUCUUUGUGUGAAACCAUGUUCAUAUCUCUUGACGUUAUAUUUAAAUGUUUUACGAUUUAUAAA
Pieris napi is the source of this 641-nucleotide long non-coding RNA. RefSeq lists it as uncharacterized. Lineage: Eukaryota; Metazoa; Arthropoda; Insecta; Lepidoptera; Pieridae. The transcript is spliced from 2 exons. The record is from RefSeq and is a predicted model, not a curated record.